UACGGGGGGGGCAAGCGUUGUUCGGAAUUAUUGGGCUUAAAGGGCGCGUAGGCUUAUUGGAUAGUUAAUAGUUAAAUACAGAUGCUCAACAUCUGGACUGCUAUUAAUACUUCCAGUAUAGAGUUUGGAAUGGGUGAACAGAAUUUCGAGUGUAGAGGUGAAAUUCAUAGGUAUUCGAAGGAAUACCGGUAGCGAAGGCGGUUCACUGGUACAACACUGACGCUGAGGCGCGAAAGCGUGGGUAGCAAACAGG
RNAcentral lists this ribosomal RNA (253 nucleotides) under uncultured bacterium. Its description in RNAcentral is "partial 16S ribosomal RNA". It matches the Rfam family "Bacterial small subunit ribosomal RNA", at positions 524 to 776 of the family's 1533-position model. The record is from RNAcentral.